GGCCCCCUCUGCUCAGCCCGGCCCCAAAGGUGCCAGGAUUGGGAGGUGACAGCGUCUUCAGGCGGAUCCAGGCUGGUGGGCAUUCCCUCAGCACCUCGGGAAAUGUGGGAAGGUGGGUGAGAUCCCACCUGGGAGAAUUUCGAAGGUUGGAAGGAGGUGGAACCAAGGGAAUUAAAAGCGUUACCAGU
This 188-nucleotide long non-coding RNA is filed under the name Cyanistes caeruleus (blue tit). RNAcentral's name for it is "lncRNA (ENSCCEG00000012323.1)". The record is from RNAcentral. Lineage: Eukaryota; Metazoa; Chordata; Aves; Passeriformes; Paridae.